CCUAACCAACCUACUCUUAGGUCUACUAGUCCCAGCGGAGCUGAAGCUAUGGAUAUCAGCAUCUUCAGGGGUCCGCUAUCACCGGAUGAACGUAUGAGAAGAAAGACCCGGGGCCUUUGCAUGUAUUGUGGUGAUCCAGCUCACAGUCUUAAGGACUGCCCUAUCAUACCUCAGAAAAAGAACAUGGGCAAGUAAACAGAUCUCAGUCCCUGCUAUCGUUGACACCGGAGCUCAAGGCAACUACAUUGACAGCUCAUUAGUCUCUAUCAAUAAAAUACCACUGAUUAAGAAA
Bombina bombina (fire-bellied toad) is the source of this 292-nucleotide long non-coding RNA. RefSeq lists it as uncharacterized. NCBI's taxonomy places the organism in Eukaryota, Metazoa, Chordata, Amphibia, Anura, Bombinatoridae. The record is from RefSeq and is a predicted model, not a curated record. The transcript is spliced from 2 exons.